GGUUCAGUGGUGUAAUGGUUAUCACGUUCGUCUCACACACGAGAGGUCAAGAGUUCGAUCCUCUUCUGAACCA
RNAcentral lists this transfer RNA (73 nucleotides) under Serendipita sp. 399. RNAcentral's name for it is "tRNA-Val". It matches the Rfam family "tRNA". From Rfam's summary of the family: Transfer RNA (tRNA) molecules are approximately 80 nucleotides in length. Their secondary structure includes four short double-helical elements and three loops (D, anti-codon, and T loops). Further hydrogen bonds mediate the characteristic L-shaped molecular structure. tRNAs have two regions of fundamental functional importance: the anti-codon, which is responsible for specific mRNA codon recognition, and the 3' end, to which the tRNAs corresponding amino acid is attached (by aminoacyl-tRNA synthetases). tRNAs cope with the degeneracy of the genetic code in two manners: having more than one tRNA (with a specific anti-codon) for a particular amino acid; and 'wobble' base-pairing, i.e. permitting non-standard base-pairing at the 3rd anti-codon position. The record is from RNAcentral. Lineage: Eukaryota; Fungi; Basidiomycota; Agaricomycetes; Sebacinales; Serendipitaceae.